Molecule: non-coding RNA, 74 nt
Organism: Cordylochernes scorpioides
Lineage: Eukaryota; Metazoa; Arthropoda; Arachnida; Pseudoscorpiones; Chernetidae
Source: the annotation of a GenBank genome assembly
UGCAUCGGCCGGGAAUCGAACCCAGGCCGCCCGCGUGGCAGGCGAGCAUUCUACCACAGUAUAUUUUAAACUGU